UUCUGUCUGCAGGCUGCCCACAUUCCUUGACUCGUGGCGCUGCAUCAUUCAAUCUGAUUCUGUCUCCGUCACCUCUCCUUCUCUGACUCACUUGCCUUUCUCACUUAUAAGGACCCUUGUGAUACGUUGCACCCUCCUGGGAAGUCCAGAAUGAUCUCCCCAUCUCAAGAUCGGUAAUUUAAUGACAUCUGCAAAUUCCCUUUGACACACAAGUAUCUCUGUCUCAUGGAAGAUGGCGGAAGAGGGAUGGUUCUAGGAAAUUCACGAACGCCUAGGAAGAUGUGGCUCCUAAAAAGGUGCUUAUUUGCGGGAUGAAAUACGGCUCUUCCUGUGCGCAAACCCAGGCAAUUCCAUGGGGCCAUAAAGGUGCGGGCUUGAACUGUUUGUCUGUGGGGCUGUCUGUAAUCGCCGGCUCCUACCUGGUGCCCGCAGCCUGGGCCUCAAAUUGUGCUGGGAAGGGAUGCGGCGCAUGCGCGCUGUCAGCCCUGCCUCUGUCCUGGGAGCCAGCCAGGUAAGGC
RNAcentral lists this long non-coding RNA (518 nucleotides) under Equus caballus (horse). RNAcentral describes it as "lncRNA (ENSECAG00000053268.1)". Lineage: Eukaryota; Metazoa; Chordata; Mammalia; Perissodactyla; Equidae. The record is from RNAcentral.